Cicer arietinum (chickpea) is the source of this 3409-nucleotide non-coding RNA. The record is from RefSeq and is a predicted model, not a curated record. NCBI's taxonomy places the organism in Eukaryota, Viridiplantae, Streptophyta, Magnoliopsida, Fabales, Fabaceae.
AUGUCGUUUGGUUUGUUUGUCUUGUUCUUUUUUUCAUUCGGUGAUAAUUCAAUAACGUUCAGUCUUCUUGAGAAAAACGUGUUCUGUCCCGAAACAUUCAAUCGUCUGCUUGAGAAAAGAACAUUGAUUGAGGAAACAUUUUCUAUCACAAAACAUUCAAUCUUCUGCUUAAGAAAACAACCUUGAUUGAGGAAACAUUUUCUAUGCUCUUUUUCUCAUUCAUGAUUAUUUCAAGAACAUUCAAAUAUUUCAAAAUGAUUUUUAAAUUGAGUUUUGAUUUUAGAAUUUUCAUUCUAACAAAUUUAUCUGUCUGGUUUUUUUUAUAUACCUAUUAGGAAAAUAUCGGGCUACCCAUUUUAUCGUUCUUGAUAUAUUCAAGUCCUUAAAUCUUCUGCUUCAAAAACCAGAGAACCAUCCAUUUUGUAAAUCAAAAUUUAACAGGUUAUACAAAACCUGAAAGACCGAAUCAUUGCAAGAUGAAAUCUGUUUUCAUAAAAAGGGGUAUAUGUCCCAAAAGCAGAAAGCAGUGGAUAUACUUUGUUCUAUAGAUUUUGUAAGUGAUGGAUGCCUCAAUGACCCUAGAGGGGAAAUGCAUUAUGAUCUCCUUAUUCAUAAUGUUAGGAAUACAAGUUUGGUUUGAUAAGUGAAAUGAAAUCUGAAUGUCUUGAUGACCCAAAAAUAUGAUGGAUGAUGCCUUAAAAAUGCAAGCUAAUUGAUAUACAAUUUUUAUAUGUUUUUAUUCAAAAUGUAAAACAUGGAUGGAUAGUUUGAUAUAUUUUGUCUUGACGACCCUAGCAUCUUGGCAACAGUCAACUUUUUCUUACUGUUGUGUUUGGGUUGUCUCUAUGCUAGCUCUUACCACUUAUGACAUAGUUAUAUUCCUGGUGUUAUGUAUCUACUUGGUUAAAGCACGAGAGUUGAACUGUAAGUAUCUACUUAUAAAUGUGUUCACUACUUAAUGCUAACUUUUUUAACCAGAGGUUAGAUAUGAGGGAUUAGCCUACCUGUUAUUGUUGGACUGUGUUGCUUGGUAUUUGGACAAUAUCAGAUAUUCUCAGUGGAAUCAUAAAAUGAGUUGUGUUUGUUAUUGAGUGGAAGGGUUAAGUGCCAUGGAGUGUAAAAUUAUUGGGAUUUGUGCUAUCUCUCAAAUUUAAUUAAGACAGAAGUGUAUACAAAAUUGUUUGCGAAGGUUGAAUAUGAGAAUGUGACUGUACUAUGUUUUAGUAUAAUUCAAUGUUCCCUUUUGGUUAUUAGUAGGCACGAGGAUAGAUUCAAAUCUAAUGAAACUGUAUUUUGUAAAAGUAGUUCCAUCCCUAGUAAAUUUUUUUUUUACAAAUGGAUACACCAGCUUGCUUAAUAUUCUCUAAUAAAUUAAAUAAUGGUAUGAUCUGCAAUCUGUUGUUUGUAGCUUACUUCAGCUUGAUGAGAUAAAAUUCUCUGGUGAUCAGUAAUUCAAGGUUUUAUUUAUUUAUUUAUUUUUUUUAUUAUAAUUGUUUGUGUUGGUUUUAUGAGCUGAGACAUGGUUGCAUUAGUUUCACAUAAUAGCAUAUCCUUAUAUAUAGAGGAGCUUUGUUCAACAGAGCACGCUAGGGAUAGAAACUAAGGAACAAUAAAAGGUGCCGAGUUUUUUUCUCGAAAGAAUCACAACUAUCAAGGUUGAUUUGUUUACCAUGCACACUUUUUAGGCCAGGAGUAAAUGUGUGAAAAAGUUUUUUUUCAAUAUCAGCUAUAACUGCAAGUGCGGUUCUGAAUGGAGUAAAAGCAAGCAAUAAAGUGAUCAUUCUAUAUUUUUUAUUCUGGUCUUAUAUUGCAAUUUUAGUGUGUAAAUAUUGCUCUAUUAUCUUAUUUUAGAAGUCAAGAUAUUCAAGACUCAGUUAUGAUAAAAUACAAGAUGAUUUUUUCAUGAACUCUUUGAAAAAAAUAGUAAGUAUACACCUCCAUCUUAAAUUUGAGAGGAAUUCUCAAAAUUUUAAGUUAAGUAUGCACCUCUAUCUUAUAUUUGUCUGAUGCCAUCUCUCAAAUUGAAGAUUAAUAGCUAAGGUAAGUUUUCAGUUGUACAAGUUGAUUUGGCCUAAUGCAACCAUUGUGUGUACUAAGUUGUAAUGAUUGUAUCAUACAUGUGAAAUCUUAUAAAAUACAAAAUGAUUUAAUCAAUUGAAGAAUAUAACGACAUACUUUGAUAUGCGUAAAACGUAGCUGACCUCGCCUAACCAAAGAAAACCUUUUGUUGUUGUUGAAGUCUAUGGUAGAGUUUGUAUCAUACAUUCCAUUUUGAACUCUUAAUUUUAUUAGAAGAAUUGUGUUCUAAUUUAUUUGUUGUUUUCAAAUUUCAAUGCCAAUUAACUAUUAUUUUGUCAAUUAUACUCUUCUCUACUUAUUGCAAAAAGAGAAGUAUGUGCAAUAUGAUAAUGAACAGUCAAGGGUAUCAUAGAAAAAAGACAAUUAAUUUCAUCAAAAAACAACAAAAUUUGUUGACUUUCUUGUUUUGUGUAAAACAACUUUAAACAACACUUAAAAAGGCUCCGAGAUAGUAACCUUUUUGCUAGUGCGAGCUUCAAAGUUAAAAUAAGUUGCGUUUCUUCACUUACGAAAAGGUUCGUAUAAACUUGUAGAUGUUUAUGGAGAAGUUGAAUGAGUCAAAAACUUUGAGAUGAUUUCAACUUACGCGAAAAGUUAGGGUUCUUUUAAUAUAUAUGUUUCUACAAGUGCUUCUUGAGAAUUAGCUAAAUUGGUUUUAUGUCAUGGAUAGUCAUAACUGUUGAUCUUAUGCAGAUACUAUGGAAUCAAUCUGUGUCUGAGUUAUAUUGUUACUAAUAAUAUGUUUUGACAACUUGAGCAAAAUUUAUCUUUGUCUUCAUUAUUUAAAAAUAAGAACAUAACAUUUUCCUAUUGUAUGUGGCUGUUGAACUUAAUUGCAAUUAUUUGGAGUUAUUUUAGUGUUUUUUUCCAGCAAAAGGUAACUUGCCGCACACAGCUCAAUGGAAUUCAGCAUUACUGGAUAUAGAAGUUGGGUUCAUUUCCAUCACUUCCCCCUUUCUUUGACUAAAGUAAUGUGCUUAGGCAACUGAGACAUCUUCCUUGUCACAUAAAUUUGCAAAAGCGACCCUAUGGUUAAUUGAUUUGUGGUGCUUAAAGGGAUUGACUUAAAGCUUAUCAUCCGGAAUGCGUGAAUAAAGACAAUACCUUUUUGAAGAAUGACUGUAAUUGGUGUUGUGAAAAGCAUCAAAGUUCAUGUGCUUUUGCUGCCCAGCUGCUGUUUGUGGAAAAUGCUUCUUUGAUGGUGAAUUUGCUACUGUCAAAAGUAACAAAGGAUUUUGCAGGCACUGCGCAAAACUUGCAUCUCUACUUGAAAAAAAAGCUGAUGUUGAUUCUGAUGGGGUUGUAUGUAUACACUUUCUCUUUCGCUCUA